This 1411-nucleotide ribosomal RNA is filed under the name uncultured bacterium. Its description in RNAcentral is "bacterial SSU rRNA". It matches the Rfam family "Bacterial small subunit ribosomal RNA". The record is from RNAcentral.
GAUGAACGCUGGCGGCGUGCCUAACACAUGCAAGUCGAACGGGAAUCUUCGGAUUCUAGUGGCGGACGGGUGAGUAACGCGUAAGAAUCUAACUUCAGGACGGGGACAACAGUUGGAAACGACUGCUAAUACCCGAUGUGCCGCAAGGUGAAACCUAAUUGGCCUGAAGAAGAGCUUGCGUCUGAUUAGCUAGUUGGUGGGGUAAAGGCCUACCAAGGCGACGAUCAGUAGCUGGUCUGAGAGGAUGAGCAGCCACACUGGGACUGAGACACGGCCCAGACUCCUACGGGAGGCAGCAGUGGGGAAUUUUCCGCAAUGGGCGAAAGCCUGACGGAGCAACGCCGCGUGAGGGGGGAAGGUCUUUGGAUUGUAAACCUCUUUUCUCAAGGAAGAAGUUCUGACGGUACUUGAGGAAUCAGCCUCGGCUAACUCCGUGCCAGCAGCCGCGGUAAUACAGGGGAGGCAAGCGUUAUCCGGAAUUAUUGGGCGUAAAGCGUCCGCAGGUGGUCAGCCAAGUCUGCCGUCAAAUCAGGUUGCUUAACGACCUAAAGGCGGUGGAAACUGGCAGACUAGAGAGCAGUAGGGGUAGCAGGAAUUCCCAGUGUAGCGGUGAAAUGCGUAGAGAUUGGGAAGAACAUCGGUGGCGAAAGCGUGUUACUGGGCUGUAUCUGACACUCAGGGACGAAAGCUAGGGGAGCGAAAGGGAUUAGAUACCCCUGUAGUCCUAGCCGUAAACGAUGGAUACUAGGCGUGGCUUGUAUCGACCCGAGCCGUGCCGAAGCUAACGCGUUAAGUAUCCCGCCUGGGGAGUACGCACGCAAGUGUGAAACUCAAAGGAAUUGACGGGGGCCCGCACGAGCGGUGGAGUAUGUGGUUUAAUUCGAUGCAACGCGAAGAACCUUACCAAGACUUGACAUGUCGCGAACCCUGGUGAAAGCUGGGGGUGCCUUCGGGAGCGCGAACACAGGUGGUGCAUGGCUGCCGUCAGCUCGUGUCGUGAGAUGUUGGGUUAAGUCCCGCAACGAGCGCAACCCUCGUUCUUAGUUGCCAGCAUUAAGUUGGGGACUCUAAGGAGACUGCCGGUGACAAACCGGAGGAAGGUGGGGAUGACGUCAAGUCAGCAUGCCCCUUACGUCUUGGGCGACACACGUACUACAAUGGUCGGGACAAAGGGCAGCGAACUCGCGAGAGCCAGCGAAUCCCAGCAAACCCGGCCUCAGUUCAGAUUGCAGGCUGCAACUCGCCUGCAUGAAGGAGGAAUCGCUAGUAAUCGCCGGUCAGCAUACGGCGGUGAAUUCGUUCCCGGGCCUUGUACACACCGCCCGUCACACCAUGGAAGCUGGUCACGCCCGAAGUCAUUACCUCAACCGCAAGGAGGGGGAUGCCUAAGGCAGGGCUAGUGACUGGGGUG